Ceratotherium simum simum (southern white rhinoceros) is the source of this 151-nucleotide non-coding RNA. NCBI's taxonomy places the organism in Eukaryota, Metazoa, Chordata, Mammalia, Perissodactyla, Rhinocerotidae. The record is from RefSeq and is a predicted model, not a curated record.
CAGGCACAAAAUGGAGUCGCUUAUGCUAAGGCCCCUGUCACCAAACCCAGACUUCAUUACAGUUUCGGCUCUCCCAGAAAUGGAAUCUUAAACUAGCCAAUCAGGAAUCUCCUGACCAGCAUUAGUUAGGUAAUCGACCUGACAGACCCUC